AAAAGCAAUGCCUGGGCAAAGCCACUGAUGUUUAUCUGUGUCUGAAUUUGUCCUGAUUAUUCAGGUUUUCCAGUAGAUGUUGGAACGUAAUUAUGGCCAUAGGAAAACUGGGACCGAAAGAUGCAUGGCACUUGCAAGCGAGCAAGAAAGCUGUAACACGAAAGUGGGUACAACCUGACCCUCCAACAAAGUGUAAUGGUGUGUAU
Paramisgurnus dabryanus is the source of this 206-nucleotide non-coding RNA. The record is from RefSeq and is a predicted model, not a curated record. NCBI's taxonomy places the organism in Eukaryota, Metazoa, Chordata, Actinopteri, Cypriniformes, Cobitidae.